CAACGGGGAGAUACUCCUGAGACGGUACGAGCAAGAGUAGGGGCAAGAAGACUCUCCAACUACCGCCCUGAGGACGUGGAUGCGUUGUUGAAUAAAUGGUGUGACGAAGAGUAUCAGGAGUAUGCUGACCAUAUGAAGCAAUUACGAGCAUUGCAAAAUACUCCUCAUUGCACGGGGACCAAAAGCUAUGCGAGGUUGUCACACGAAGAAACUGUCAAGGAUGGCACUCCUCCUACGCGAGCACAAGCGUACAUAAAAACUCACAAGAAGAAGGAUGGAAGCU
This is a long non-coding RNA of Alnus glutinosa, 283 nucleotides long. RefSeq lists it as uncharacterized. The record is from RefSeq and is a predicted model, not a curated record. Lineage: Eukaryota; Viridiplantae; Streptophyta; Magnoliopsida; Fagales; Betulaceae. The transcript has 3 exons.